RNAcentral lists this long non-coding RNA (195 nucleotides) under Lynx pardinus (Iberian lynx). Lineage: Eukaryota; Metazoa; Chordata; Mammalia; Carnivora; Felidae. The record is from RNAcentral.
CGCUUAUAGUGCUCCCCGAAGGACACCAGCCCGAUGGAGAUGGUCUGCAGGAAUGGCCGGAUGGCAGGCGUGAACUGUGGAGAGAUGCCGCUGUGUCACCCACUGCCCAGGAAGGACCGGAGGCAGGCAGGAGUGAGGGGCAGAGACGUGGUUUGUGGGGAGGCGUGGUCAUUCAACACACAUUUAGUGAGCUCC